AUGCUUUCUUGCUUCCGGCAGCCGCGGCCGGCAGGGGACGCCAGCCAGGAGGGCGCGUCGUCCCGGCGGCCGGCACUGCCGUUCGCGACCGGCCUGUUGUUCGCGUCGUCCCCGUCGACGUCGGGCAAGAACCCGUGGCCGUCGGAGGCGGACGACAUGGAGAAGAAGCGCUGGGACAGCAUGGAGUCGUGGUCCAUGCUGCUGGACACGGCCAUGGGCGCCUCCUCCGGCGGCGAGGGCUCGUCCCGCGACAGCGGCCGCCGCGAGGAGUGGAUGGCCGACCUGUCCCACCUCUUCAUCGGCAACAAGUUCGCCGCCGGCGCCAACAGCCGCAUCUACCGCGGCAUCUACAAGCAGCGCGCCGUCGCCGUCAAGAUGGUCCGCAUCCCCGAGCGCGACGAGGCCCGCCGCGCCGUCCUGGAGGACCAGUUCAACUCCGAGGUCGCCUUCCUCUCCCGCCUCUACCACCCCAACAUUGUCCAGUUCAUCGCGGCGUGCAAGAAGCCGCCGGUGUACUGCAUAAUCACGGAGUACAUGUCGCAGGGGACGCUGCGGAUGUACCUGAACAAGAAGGACCCCUACUCGCUGUCGCCGGAGACGAUCCUGAAGCUGGCGCUGGACAUCUCGCGCGGCAUGGAGUACCUGCACGCGCAGGGCGUGAUGCACCGCGACCUCAAGUCCCAGAACCUGCUGCUCAACGACGAGAUGCGGGUGAAGGUGGCCGACUUCGGCACCUCCUGCCUGGAGACGCGGUGCCAGGCCACCAAGGGCAACAAGGGCACCUACCGCUGGAUGGCGCCCGAGAUGAUCAAGGAGAAGCCCUACACGCGCAAGGUGGACGUCUACAGCUUCGGCAUCGUGCUCUGGGAGCUCACCACCUGCCUCCUCCCCUUCCAGGGCAUGACACCCGUCCAGGCCGCCUACGCCGCCGCAGAGAAGAACCUGAGGCCGCCGCUGUCGAGCUCGUGCCCGCCGUUGCUGAACAACCUGAUCAAGAGGUGCUGGUCGUCGAACCCGGCGAGGCGGCCGGAGUUCAGCUACAUCGUGUCGGUGCUGGACAAGUACGACCACUGCGUCAAGGACGGGACGCCGAUGAUGGUGCACCAGGAGCUCAGGAUCUGGAGCUCCUUCGCCAAGAUCUUCAGGAUGGGGUGCAUCGCCAACAACUUGUCCAUACCGGUGCAUUCUUGA
This 1191-nucleotide ribosomal RNA is filed under the name Triticum aestivum (bread wheat). Its description in RNAcentral is "partial small subunit ribosomal RNA". Lineage: Eukaryota; Viridiplantae; Streptophyta; Magnoliopsida; Poales; Poaceae. The record is from RNAcentral.